CUUGAUUUUUUUUUUAUAGUUUACUGAAGACAUUGAGUAUGUUGGUAGAUGACAAAUAAAAACCUGUAAAUCAGAACCUACAGGAAGGUAGUACAAUAAAGAUACUAAUUUACAUAUUUCCUGCUAUUGUGCAGCAAAACUUACCCAGUCAGCUAGAAGUCUGUUAAUUUUUAUUCUUAUAUGAGUACAUUGAAUAGUCCCAUUGAACUUGGUGGCAAUUCCCAUGGUUUAAGGUGGAGGUUUCUGAAUUUAAUUUCCUCAUAUUCACUCAUCAGCAGUAACAGUAGCUCCAGGUGGUGUAUCAGGCCUUGUUACUGAGGAGAGAUCCCCCAAACCUCGGUAAAUACUUGCACUCCGUUAAAUGAGAAACCCAUGCUGCUGUCUUUGCCAUCCCCAUUGCCUCAGCUCUGCACCUGCCUGAACAGUGUUAGUACAGUGGCUGGAAAAUAGAGGGUGGGCACAAACAAGGUCUAUUACCAUGUACUGAAGGAAGCUGCCCUGAAGUGUGAUGACAUGAUGUUCUUACUCAUGCCCUUUAGUGUUAGGUAGUCCUGGGAGGAGCAGGGAGUUGGACUCUGUGAUGGUGAUGAGUUCCUUCCAACUUGGGAAAUUCCACGAACAGAAGUGGCCCAUGUGGAGAUACUUUUUGGGUUGUUUGUAUCUUCAUACAAGCAGGAUUAUGAGCUGCAGGGGCAUGGCACUUUGUCUGUAUAUCACACAUGCAACUGUUACAGACAGACUAAAAAUUGAUUCUUACCUUCUUUCCAGCAGUCCUGAGUACCUGUGUAGAAACGCCAGCAGCACUUGCUUGGGGGGAAUAUAAAAUCAAGUACUGUUUUAAGAGUGCAUUGAUUUAGUAUACAUUAUCAUUGUUUAAUGGUACAAGCAGAUGUCCUGGUCCUGCUGUAGCCGCAGUGCCUGCGUUUUAGAUUCUGUAAGUGCGUGUUCACACACAAUCUCUGUCUUUACAAUUCCUCUGUUCUUAGAGCAAGUGGGCGAUUACAGCAAUUGUGCUUUUUUAAACCAAGUCAAGCUAGGUACUUGCCACGUAUCCUACCUGUAAGCUAGGACCGGUAAUAAACAGUGGUUCGGAAAAGCUUUUAAAAACUUCUCUGGCUUUUUACUUCUGGGCUUCUAGGCCACCCUACUUAUAAAUUCAGUCUUCAGCAAUUUCUAGCUGACUUUCUUCCCCACUGCUCACUCUUCUAGCCUGCAGCUAUUCGUUUCUGUUUCCUGACUAAAUCUCUUCAUCUCACUUUCUCUCCAGCUCCUGUGAAUUAUAAACCACAUGUCUGAGCACAGAAUAACUGGAAAUGAACUCCACAGUUUAGGAUUUAUGCCUUGUUCUUUCUGUAAAGAGGACUAUUGCAAUUUACAGUCUUGUCCAUUUUUCUGCAUCUUUGCUUCCUCUGGAAUUAAGUUGUGGUAGUAUACAAAGAAAUCAGCUAAUAUAAGGGUUCUUGGGUAGUCCCAAGAUCUUUCACAGCAGAAAUUAUUCUUGAGUUAAUAUGUACUUUAUUGUUAUCACAUGUUACAGACCAGAGAAUUUUUAUAACUCAUAGAGAUUAACAAAAAAUGCCAUUUUAGGUACUCUUUGCAGUCAGUGUAUGGUAAAAGGAAAUGGAAAUAAUUCCUUGUGUAAGUUGGUUUCAGCUAUAACUUGUGUUAUAGGAGGAGUUAAUCUGUCCAUUAAAUUCUGAAUGAAUGCAAAAGGAAUGUUUGGAUCCAUUCCAGAACUGUCCUAAAGUGUGUGGCUUAUGUGAUUCUGUGAUUAUACAGAGAUUUGUGGGCAAAAAGAAAUAACAUGGCGAAGCAUAUACCUUGUUGUACUUAUUAGUUUGUUCCACCCUUUGCCAUCUACGACAAAAGAUGUGAACAGAGGAGAAAAACAAAGUUCAGAAGCUACAAGUAUUUUAUAAAAAUAUUUUUAAAUGGAGAGGAAGUUGCCAGCACAUCAGUGUGUUUUUUAGUGAUAUCUGAUAUUCAUCAGAUAUUUGACAUUUGGGUACCAAAUUGAUCUGAAUCUUAAGAUACAGUUAUCUAAUUUACUUUGACUGAAUAUCUCUGCCAUGCAUGGUCCCCAUAUAACUCUCUUCAAGGUUCAGAGAAAUCCUAUUGCUUGUAGGGAGGCUGGCAUCAAUCCUCAAGCAUUGAAAACAAAAGAUUCUGUCAAUAACUGAAUGACAGGAAUAUGAUUAGUUCCACUGAUAUAAAUCUUUAAAAAAAUCACUUAAAUUACACACCUGCUUGAUAAAUCUAAUUAAAUGUAUUUUAAGAAUACUAAUGUGUUAGUACCAGAUAAUAGUUCAAUAAAGGUUAUCAGGUACAGUAUCAGUGAUCAUACAUUAAAUGUAUUAAGAUCUGGAUAAAAAUUAGACCUUAAAAUAACUGUCACUAAGUGGGUAAAUUGUUACAGUUACACACAGAAGCACUCUUAACUGAAAUCUAUAAUAAGCCUGAAUAUUUUUCAGUAACCUGAGAUUCCUGUACUUUUUUUCCUCAGUCAUCUGAAAGUGAUUUAAAGUCUUUGCUGAGAAAAAUUUACUGCUAGAUAAUGGCACUUGUACGUAAUGGUGCAGAUCUUUUCAUGACUCAGUUAUGAAAAUGUGCAUUUGCAGCUAUCUAAAAGUCAUUAAAGCUUAAAAAAAAAGGGUUGUAUCUACAAAAUAUAACUGUUCUAGACAGUGAUUUUGGAAAUAAUUUAGAGGUCAAAUAAAUGUAAUGCCAAAGUGGCUAAUGCUGUUAUGGGUAUGUCUUUCUGCUCUUCUAUACUGAAUGGCUUAGUGGUACUUCAUUAACUUAUGAGGUAUUACUGCAGGGCUGGGAAGUGCCCAGAUGCUAUGAAAAUUGUCACCAGACAGGACGGGCCAAAAUUCUUAGCCCUUACCAAUAAUGGUGUUAAAAGCCAAGGUGUAUUGAGAGUUUAGCUGUGGUCUGCAAGUUAAUUCUUCCUACGUGCCAAUUUGUAGGUUUCAGUUACUAAUAGAUAUGUUGUGCAAAUGCAUUGUGCUUGCUUAUGUCGUAAUUUAAAGAUACAAUCUGGAGCUUAGAUAGGACUAUUAAACUAAUUUUGAAUUUCAUAGCCCUGGUAUUGAAAGCAAUAUCCUUUGCAGUAUAGAAUUCCGUGAAUGUUACGUGCCUUAGUAUGUACUAGGUGACUUCAUCGUUUUAGAGAUGAUGCUGAAGCCCAGGUUGCAGGGCUAUGCUUCUUUAAGUAUCCAGUGGGAUUGUUGUUUGCGUGCCUGUAUUCUCACAAAUCACUUAAAUUUGGCUUGCUUUGUAGCCUGGGGAUAACUUGGUGGAUUAAUUUGUAAGAUGUAUCUGAUUAACUUCUUACAAACUUCUGAAUGAAACACAAAGGAAUAAUAAAUGUUAUCCAGCCCUGUGUUUGGAACAGUUGGAUUGUUAGACUACUGAUCUGUAUUAGCAUGAAGAUUUUGCUUGGAAAUUCCUUUUCUUUAGCUUCGUCUGUCAGAAUCAGGGACACUUUGUGGUUUCUUGUGCUUUUUCAGGCCAUAGAAGAUUUUUCUCCUCCAAGUUCCUUAAAUUGUAACAGGGGUAGAUAAGGCUUCCCCCACGCCCCGCUGCCCCCGUUUCCCCUUUUCUCUACACUAUAAAAGAGAGACACCAUCUGACAACCCUCCUUGGGAUAGUGUGUAUAAUUCCAGUUGCCUGUGUUCAAGAAAGAUGAGCAUGGGACAGAACUGGUGUACCAGAAUACUGGGAAUUGCUGGUGGUGAGAACACGCAACUCUUAUGAGCAGAAACUUCAGAUCUGGGAGCAGUUGUGGCCAGAAAAGGAUUUACUGAGGAGGCUGAGGUGGCUGCAACUUCCCCUUCCCAUCUUUAGCAUUGCUUACUGAAGCACAUGCUCCAAGGCAUGUGAUGGGGGAACCAGCUAUGCAGCUCUUCCAUCCUGGCUUUGUUUAUGUGGAGCAGGAAGAGAAACCUAGAAAAGGAAAGACUGGUUUAAAUUAAGACAGCACUGGUGUAAGAACAGAUGUCCAUGGAUGUGUUUAAGUUCAGACACGUGAGCUUUAAACCCUGUCAGGCCAGCGUUUCAGAGUGAUUUGAUGAAAGGGGUUAUAUGGCAUACUUGCUUAUGAUAAUCACGUAUUAACAUAAUGACCUGAGGAUCUCGUGCAGCACCAUGCUUUUACGAAAGCUUCCAUCUACAAUAAGUUGUCUUAAGAUUUUUGUAACAGAUUUCAGUCUAAAUUUCCCUUGCCUUACAGAGUUCUGUAGCAGUCCAUGGUUGUUAAGGCUCUGCCUUUUUCCCUAGGGAUUCGUAUGGAGAGCUGUACAGUUUGUAGAAAUUCUCAGCUUUUUUUCUUAAGGUUCUUAAGAAAAUAAUUUGAAGUGAAAGUAACAUGCUUUGUAGUAGAAGUGCCCAAGUCCAUGACUGUACCAAUUCUGUAGUAAGUUUUGUUACAGCUAUAGUAGGUGAGAGCUUAAAAGAAGCUGAUGAAUUCUGGGUUGGGUUCUGAAUGCCACUGUCUUUAUCCUGAAAGGAGGCACCAAAGGGUAUGUCUGUUUCCCCUCAAAAAAUCCCUCUCUGAACUCUGAUCUGACAGGCUGCCAAUAACUGACCUCUACCUGCUCCUUCCUGUUAAAUAUUUGUUUGUGAAUUAUAUGUUUUCUGGAGGUUUUACAGAAUCCAGUUUUCCCCCUCCAUUAUCUCUCUAUUCAAGACAGCAUUCUCCUUCAGGAAAAUAUUUAAGCACGUGCUUAUCAGUCAUUCAGAUGUUAAAAUGCAGGUGAGGUGCUAUGCCUGUGUGAUUAGCAAAGGGUCGAUUUUGUUUGAGAGCCAUGUAGUUGCUAUGGCCAAUUAAAAUUAAGUGGAAGUUUCACUUCGUUUGGAGGGGGGAGAUGGUGACCUUUCAAAUGUAUUUAAAAAUAUAUAUAUACAUGCGCAAUUUUAUUGAAUGGCUUUUUCUCUUCUGUCAACACAUUUGACUUGGAUGUACCUUUGCAUCUAGAUGAAAAAGAGAAACUACAUCCUUUGAUAUCAGGCAAAUUCAUGCAAGCUUUUUCUUGGGCAGCUGGUGAAGGAAGUACUUUUCUGCAGCGCCUGUUUCUCAGCUGAUAAAUUCUGCUUCACGCAGGUGGUAAUGGAUUGUGUAUUUUUAAGGUUUAUCAGGAUUCUCGUCUGUUAGGGUUUCAUGUUAAGAACUGUGGGAAAUGUUUGUAUGUUUAGGUUUUCUUAGUGCUUCCUAGUUGAUUUUUUAAAAACAGCUAUAACACUGAAUCAGAUAACCUGAUGAAUCUGUCAGAAUUGGAAAUGUGUUCUAAAAAUUGUGUCCACUAUAAGAAUGCUCUGAUUCAAUAAACAUUUCUUCCUUUAAAUAUUCAGCAAUUAAUGCUAGAUGGUUUUAUUUUAAUGUGCCAGGAAACAUAAAUGAAGAAACAACUGCUGGAAUUUGAUGGCUCAGUAACACACAAACUUAUUGAAUGGGCCAAAGCAGUUGAGCUUGAUCCCAAAUAUCCUCGGUAUUCAUGUAUGUUGAAAUAGAUUAUUGUAAUGGUUAGCAGAUUUUGAUAACACAUUUUUACAUGUUUUCUAGGAGAAAAGACAUUGUACUGUGUUAGGAGAUGGGGUACUUUUAGAUACUAUUAAUAUUUUUCAUGCAAGUUCUUUGGCUUCAAGAUUCCAAAUAACAGGGAGUUAAGGCUAACUGUGUUUUUAAAAUGUUUAAUAGAUAAAAGCAAAGCAUGGGAACAAACUUAAGUUGUUAUCAUAGUUAUUUAAAACCCCAGUGCAGAACUGUUGCCUGAGAUUAGGUUCUGUACCAGAAUAAUAAAACCAAAUUGAGAAAGCUGUAUCUUUUGCUGCAGCUACAUAAAGGUCAGUUCCAUGAUGGAUAAAGGUCCUGUCCUUUCCAGGAUGCACAGGUGUCUUGUGCGUGCUCAGUAACUCUGGGAUGUUCUGGAUGCAUUAGGUUUAUUGCAUGUACUCAGAUGAGCCCUAGAGAAUACAGGCUGUAAUUCUGAUGUGCGGGUGGGAUGUUGGAUUUACGCUGCAUAUCCUGUAUGGUUCAUCUGCUUGUGCUCUGUACAUCUGGUGCAUCUAGUAACUGUAAUGGGGAUGGUAGAUAUCUGAUAAUCCAGUGAAAAGAGAAAAAUUAAGUGAAAUUAUUUUGCCAGAAACAUCUUUAAUUUACAGUACUACUUAUUAGAAAAGGGCAGUUGGUCAUUUCUUGGCUGAUUUUUGUGAUGCAGAAAAAAUACGUACAUUUUCAAGUAAACAUACAACAAAGGAAGUAGAACAAGCAUUAAUGUAUUCUUUUAAAAAUUCACUCCAGUAAAAAAAGUAUGGAUCUUUUUACAAGAAAACACUGGCCUGAUGAAUAAUUUCUGCUCAGAUAAACAAACUAGCAUAUGUUUAUGCUAUUGGUGCCAGUCAGAAAGAUAUAUUAUCAGAAGUCCUGAGGAAAUUUGUGCAAAGGCCGUUAAAGGUUCAUUUUUAAAAAAAAAAAAGUUAUUUAGAAAUAGAGACAAUUUGUAAAAUCCUCCAGCCUUGCUCUUGCAUUCUCAUAGUAUGCAGGAUACAUUCCAAAAUACUUUUGUCUUGAACGCCUGCAAGAAAGAUUUAACUUUCUUACUGAAGAAGAUAUGAAAAAGUCUUAAGUGCUUCCAGCUAUUGCAAAUUACAGCUUCAGGUAGUUAAACUCCUGCUAUUUUCAAGCACCCCUCUUUAGAGGGAAAUACGACAUAAAAUAUUUCAGGAAUUUAGUGUUUCAGAUACAGUCUUUGUUUUAACUAAUAUGUGACAAAUUGUAUUAACUUUACUCUCUGACUUUUAAGUAUUUUCUCAAUCCAGCUUUCUUGUUCCUUUAUGUGUUUAUAUAGCAAAGAAAUUAGUUGAGUAUCAACUUUGGUUCAUAUCUAUGUAUGCUAUCUCUUUUACUUCCUCCUUUCAACACACUUGAAUUAACUGUAUGUAAUUAGAAGCAUAUUAGAUAUAUUUGUUAACAGUACAGAUUAUGUGAUCCAGAUCCAAUAAGAAAUCUGUUAUAGCUUGCAAAAUUUUACUUAUAGGUAUUAGGGCUAGAUACUCUGAUACUUUAAAGAAAAUAAACUAUUUUCCCCUCAGCUUUUAUGUCCUCAAAAUGAAGCCAUGGGGAAAAACUUUAAAAUGUAGUUGAAAACGAACAUUUUCAUUAGGUACUGCAUCUAGCAUGCAGAUUUUUGUAGACUGGAAGACUUCUCACACAUUCUCUACAGAUGGGACUGUAUAUCCCCUGAAAUGUUGUGACCCCUCAUGCUGAACUGCCAAAACUUCUCAAAAGAGAUGAAGCUGUGAGGCAGAGCAGGAGUCAGCAAAGGCAAUGGCACUGAAGAGGUAUGGACAUUAUUCCAGUUAAAUGUUUCGGUUUUGGAAAAGUUCUGGGUUCUCUAAAGUGUUGAACUUUUCAGCUACAGUUAGAGAUUUCCCAAGAAACCUGACACUCACUGAAAUACUUCUGCUGUUAAAAUUCUGUGUUAACUUUCUUCGACAAGCCAGCUGAUACGAACUUCUGUCUUUUUUUUCAUUAAAAUGUCUUACAGCUCCUCUUUCAGUUAAUCAAUUUAAGAAUUGGAUAUCAUGAUGGAGUAUCUAUCACACCCCUAGAAGAGUUGACCUAAUAAUUAGUUAUUCACAGUGGUUUAUUUCUGCCAUGUACAUCCCAUUUAAAUUUAUCAAGACUCAACUUCCUGGAAUUGUUUUUUGGUAUGCCCAUAUCUGAUAUUAGAACCCCGUUCUAGACAAGUUCUUGCUGUACAGAUACUGACAAGCUGUUGGUAACACUCUCUGUAUUUAUAUUAAACUGACUUUCUUCAGUCUGUCUCUAGAAUACAAGUUUUCUUGUAGAUUUUUCUUGUAACCCUUUCUGAAGCUUUCCUAUUCAUUAAAUUCAUACAUUAGGGAAUUAUUUUUUUAUGGUGAUAAAUAUUUUCAUAGCAAUCUGUCUUUAUGCCAAGAUUAGCAAUGAAAUUCCUGGUUCUUAAACUUUGUUGUGCAGAGGGUGGGUGUUUUCUGGGAGUUAAUAGCUUCUGAGGUCCAUUUUAAUGGAGAUUUUCUGUAGAGUUUCCUACCAAUGUUUGUGUUUUUCUUUAUUGUUGCCCUUGGGGCCAGAAAAUUUUCUGGUGGAUUCCCAAGUCGUACAGUGAACUUAAAUGGAAAUAAAGCCUGUGAUAAUGAUUGGUAUAAACAACUGACACAAACAUUAAUAAAGCGGUGUAAACAAUUGACAUAAAAUAUAUUGAUAAUAUGAGGUGUCCGUUAUCUCCAUUCUCAAACCCUUUGUAGCAUGGUGACCUUUUAAAGAUAAUUUCCUGAGUAACUACUUCUCGUUAUGAUCAUUGUAGUCAUUAUAAGAUUGUUUCAACCUUUCUUGUAAACAUAUGUAUCCAUAUACGUGCUGUGCCAUCAGUGACAGCUGUGCACAGGGCUGUUCAUUAGAUGCUUACUUAAUGAGCUGUGGAUUUUUAAAAUUCUAGUAAUUUCAGAGAGAUGUUUAAUUGCAUGUGCAAAUGCCAGAAGCAGCAACUAGCUGAGUCGCCUACUCAUCUGUUGAAUAUCUUGAGCGAACUGCCAGGUAGAAGAGGGAGCUGAAAAGUAUCAGUAGGUGGCAGAAAAACACUAGUAUCGUAACAGAAAAGCGUUGCUUUACCUGUGUAACCAGAACAUGAUGUCUCUGCCUUUAAAAUAUUGUAAAGCUUUGAUCUUCUUUCUCUUCUUUGAGCUCUAGAGCCCUUAUCAACAUUGUCUUGACAACAACCUUUUCCUCUAUUGCCAUAUUACUGCUCUCCAGCUAGUACAAAAUCUGCCAUCUGAGGGAACUUUUCAGAUGCUUUGAUGCAAAGUGGACAGCUUCUUUUUCUGUGAUGCUCAGCGAGGACUGAGAGCUGGUGAAAUGAGAGUGUUCACAACACUGAGAACCCUUUAUCUAACACAGGAGUUCCUCUAGGAUACUGCAACUGCAGUUUGGAAUAGUUAUUUUGCUGUUCUGUGGGUGUGUUUUGCUAGGUCAUUUUUGUAUCAGUCUGAAACAGUGAACUCUGAGCUUAGGACUCGAGUCUUUAAUCUGCACAGCAUGGUCUUGCAUCUAGCAGUGCUUAUUAGUUCAAAGGGCAAUGCUGUAUGAAAAUGAUGUGUCUGACUUCCAUGGGCUCUGGAAAUGAUACGGCUGUGUCAACACUAUGCUGUGUCUCGGGCUAAGAAGAUUGGCUAGAUCCAAGUUAUAUGAGGACCCAGUUCUGGAAUUUAUACCUGCAGCACUAUUGUUGCUCAAUCAGUCUGCCAACAGUUUUAGCCUUGUGUCCUCAAUUAUCUCAUCUUUGCAUUUUGAUAGGACGCGUCUUAAGUAUUUUAAUGGUUGCUUAUAUGAGAAAGGACUGGCUUGGAUCAGUUACAAUUCUGUUCUCAGCUCCUCUGGAGCAAUUGAAAGUAAUAUAAAAUUAAAUAUAAAAUAUUCCUGUGGUAUUUACAAAACUCCGUAGGAGGUUUAGGUGUUACAAAAGCAGGGUGGUAGGAUUUUUAAAUGUUACGAAUGAUGAUACUGUACAGUGUCCAGUAGUACAUAUUAUUUACAACAACUACAGUGGGUAUUAUUGUCUGUGAGUACUCUCUGUGUCUGUGUAUGUCUUAGAGCUGAUGUGAGGACAGCCCCCCACUUUGCUACCAUGAUUCCAAAAUAGCCUUUUCCUGAAACCUUUUAAGGAGACACUUCUUUUGUCUUACUGUGAUGGCCAACAGUGAAAGGUGGGGGCAUGUUUCCCUCAUGAUGAGGAGAGCACGAAGACCUGAAGGAGGAACUGAAAUGAAGUUUGUCUGAGAAACACAAAGUUAGAGAAGAAUAGAAAGUUCAGUUACAAUAUUUGGAUUAUUCUAGUCAGGCUCCAGACUCUGCAUUCAGCCAUAGCUGAUGCCUAUCGUGAGAACAUACACUGUAGGAAGUUUGGGAGAAAAGAGUGAAUUAGGAGGUAUUUGGAAUAUAGCUGUGUUUGCCAUAAAAUGUUUAAUCUGUUACUUUACAGGUUACAUUUAUUUACAUUACCUUUGUCAAUUUGAAUGGGAUCAUGCAAAGCGAAUUGCAGAAUACUCGAGGUCUUAACAUCAUAGAAUAGAAACAUAUAAUCAUUGAGCUUGGAAAAGACCCUUAAGAUCAUCAAGUCCAACUCUAAACCUAACACUGCCAAGUCAAUUUCAUUUUACAGGUUCCUUAUAUUUUAAUGUUUAAGUGCAUUGGUCCAGGAUUUCUCUUCUGUUUCUGUGAGACUACAAGACUAUAAAAGACUGUUUCCCAAGAGAAUUUGUCACAGGAUGUGUCCUCCUGGGAAAAGUCCUCUACUGUUCUUCUCUUCAAGUGUUGAUAUCCUUUUCCACAACUUAGUGAGUAGAAUCCUUUGAGGAAGAUAUAAACAGUUAUUAUUUCCUUUUAUGUCUUAUGAUAUAAUGUGAUUCGAAUGGAUUUAAUACCUUAAAUAUGAUCUCUUAUACUGCAUUAAAGUGAUUUUAUGUAAUGCCAACCUUUGAGAAAUAUUACAUAAUUGUAGUGCAUUUCAUGUGACUGUACCACAAGUUUUACUUGGAUAGACCUUGAAUAAGACAUACAUUUCUGACAGAAGUGUGUGAUGGACAGAAUUUUAAAGAUAACACAAUUUUUAACCAUCAUUGCAACAAUCAACCCUCAACUAUCAUCCACUGAAAACAGUUCAAAAUAAUUUAAACUGAAUAUCCAUUUAGUAGGUAUUUUUAUUCACUAAGAAUUGCAGUAUAGGAUGGAUUAAUGCCUUGGAGUACACAGUAUUAUCUACCUAUAUGAUUUUCCUCUGUAGUCAGGCUUUGAAGUUACAAAUCAAAGUGAUUUGUAUGUUCUGGUUUGUAGGACACUAGAAAGAAACAGUUCUUCAAAGAGCAUGUAUUUUAAAAGAAAUGUAAAGCACAACUUCCAAACAGAAGAAAUAAUAACUUGUGGUUUUAACAACAAAGGAAGAAGUUUAGUAAUGAACUGUAUUAAAGGCCCUGAAUCUGCCGCAACAGCUAUUGGAUGUUUAUCCUAACUUAAGUAUGUAUGAGUUUAUUUUAUAGCAUCCAGUAAAAAAAAAACAACUUGUAAAAUCAGUCUUUGACUCACAGUUUAACACUGUAAUUGAUAACUUGCUGGUAGUGACUAUGGAAGCUAAUCCAAUAAAGCAUAAUUUUUAUUGUAAUUCCUAUAGAUGCUUUUUAAGUAAUGUGGAUUGUGGUUCAUUCACUACUAUUUAUUAUGUGCAUACUCUAUUUACAUGUAUUUUAAUUUCUGUAGUUCCUUUUUGCUUGAUUUGUAUCUUUAAUACCUUAUGGAUUAAACACUGGAUGAAAAUGAUGUUGGUAUUUAGAGGACAUCAAAAGUAAAAAUUGCAUAAUAAAUGUAAAUGAGGUGGGAGAUUACUGAAACAAUCUGUUUUAAGUUAAUUUAAAUUCUUGCAGAAUAAUUAUUUGCUUUACAGAGAAGAAAAAAGCAAAAUCUUUAAUUGCUAGCUAAAUACAGACUAUAUGGUUUGCUAUGACAGUCAAACCUGUGUAUGGAAAUAACCAUGUAAUCAUACAGUUCCAGGAGUUUUCAAGUUGAAUUAUGCAAACCCUGGCAACUCUUUCCGCAGAGAGCUCUAGAGGAAGUGUGUGGGGCAGAGGAAGAAGGGGGUUUUCUUAAAAACACACAAACUUUUUAUGUAUCUGGGAGAAAAACAAUAUAACAGAGAGGGGACAAUUUCUGGUCAACAGUUUAUUCCUUAUACUUUUGCAUAUAGUAUUGCAUCAGUUUGGCUGUGGGAAAUAAGAACAACAUGCAGUACUCUUGUGAUGCUGACUGCUUCAUCAAUGGGGAGAAUGUAAGAAUGUGGAGUUAAAUCAGAAGGUAGAAUGGUUUCCUAGUUUAAAUAUAAACCAAUGCAUGUACUAACAUAAGUAUAAACAGGAAUAUAUAAACAGGGAAUGGCUUAUGGAAACAAACAAAACAGGCAGCAUUCUCGAAGAGAAAGUGGUGGUGGAACUGCCUUCAAGCUACUUCUGUGUUCUCACGAUCUAGUGGAUUGAGAAAUUAGAAAGAAUCUUGGCCUUUGUGGUCUCUUUUAGGGUGCAGGGAUGCAUGCUUGCUGCCUUUUUACCAACCAGUUCUCCCAAGUCUUAGGAGACUUUACAAGAAAUUCUCAAAGCGUAUUUACAACCAUCUCUGCGUUGAGGAAGGAUCCCUUUAGAGCACAUAAUCUAAACCUGGGUAUAGAAGCCUGGUAGGGACUUUUCUACUAGUAAAGAACCUGUUUCCCAGUUGGAUCUUAUCCUGUUUUCACAUCUGUCAUUCAACCGUCUUUUGGAUGUGUGGCUACACGCCCACUCCUUCAUCUGUCAGUGGAGAUAGUCUUCUAGGUAUUUAUAAUCUCUGCUAGAAAGGAUAUGGAAUAUCCAAGUCCUUGGAGAUUAUCCUUACUGUGCCACAAUGAGCAAGCACUAAGGUAAGACAAGAGCACUGAGAUAUGACACAAGGCCAGAACCACUCUCCAAAAUAAGGGCGCUUUCCCUGGCAGCUCAGUCUAUGUGGCAUUUCUGGAAUUUCUCCAUCUCUGGAGAUCUGCAGUGAUGCCACCUGGAGUGCAGUUUUUCCUUCUUCAAAAUCUAUUCAUUAAAUAUUGCAACACUUAGCAAAGCAUGACUGUUGUUAGUGUGUUAGAACAAAAGAACCAGAAGAUUCUUCCCUAAGUAACAUAGUUGAUAGGUGUUUGUUUGAAAUGUGCAUAUGGUUGGCCUCUGAAGAAGAGGGUAAAGCAGAACACCGUUUCGCAAAAUCUUUCACAGCCUGUCCUUCUCUUCUGCUGCGGAGUCCCACUAAUAAAUCUGUAGGUCAAACUGAAAGGAGUGCAAGUCUCAAAAGUACCUGCUCUGAUCGGCUCAAGUAUUGGAACAUCCGUAGUGUAACUGCGCUGUUGUGUCAAUACACGUACAAUAAUUUAUGGUUCUUUCUAUUCAAUUGUCUGUUUUAAUUUUCUGAAAAUUUCUAAGCAAUGCUUUAAGUAUCUUUCAUUUCUUUGAAUAUGAUAAAGAUUCCUAGAUACCUGAAGAUGCAUAGAAAAAGAUGUUUAAGGAGAAAAUAAUUCUUUAUUAGAGCUUGGUUACCAGAUAAACCGAGUCCCCAGAAGGUACUUGUAAAAUGCUUUGUUUAAACUACAAGCAUUGCACAUUAGUAGAGCAUCUUUUAUAUAUUAAAAAGUUUUAAUUGGAGAACGGUUCUUGAUAAAGAUACAUAAGUUGGGUUUUUUUUCCUCUUAAAUAAUCCUUCCCAUCUGCAGUUACAGCUGUAAUUCCCCCCAGCCUGUUACCAGAUACCAUAUCUGGACACCAUACAUGCAUUUGCAGUCCGUAACUGAAGCUGUAUAUCAAACCAGCACUCAUUUCUCAGCAAUCCCCAGUAAAGAAUUUUCUCUUCAGGUGUGUUUUCAUGCAUUUGUUUUUGUGGGUCUACUUAGUUUCUCUGAUAAAUCGUGAAUUAAGUAUCCUUUAGUUAAAUUAAAAUGUUAAAAAACAAAGUUACUGUUGCUUACCUCUCAUAGAAUUUCAGUUGGAAGGGACCGACAACAAUCAUUAAAUAAGUAACGAAAAGUGGAAAAUGAAGCUUUUUGGUUGCAAAAUGUAGCAAGACCGUAGCACAUCCUUUCAGUACGAGAAAUAAGCCACUGCGUUAUGUUGUUAUAGGAAGACACUUCACUAUGUUAUCUGUGGAAUAAACUCUAAAUUGGCAUUCCAAUGGCUGUAAAUCUCCUAGUAAUUAAUGACUGAUUAGGAUGAAAAAAUUUCUGCAGGAUAUGUAGCCUUACAGUGGUCUUCUAAAUGAUACCUAGAAUACAGAAAAUGCGUGCCUUGAGAGCGCCUUAGUGGGUUGCUCUAUGGCAGUGCUCUUCCAUCUUGCUUUUCUCUGAACAUUUGAAUUUUCUCUCCUGAAACAGCAAGUAGUAUUUUUAAACAGGUUUAAAAUGUGUAUACCAGCUAAUAGGUGUAAUAACAAUUUAAGUGACUUGCACUGAGGAAUAUGAGCAUUACAUACUGCAUCUAGGUUUGCCGUUUUAACACCUGUAUGUCUUCCUUAAGUCUCGCUUCUUCUCUUGGUAGGACUGGGACUGGCAGCAGGAGCCCACAUCCUUAGUUGCACUGAGAAUUUUGAAAACCUGAAGCUAUAUAGUUACUCUUUAAAUAUUCAGUUAUAAGUUUGGGUUGGUUUUUUUUUUUGGGGGGGGGGGGUUGGUUUUUUUUUAAUUUUUAAUAGCAAAUACUUUGUCAGAAUGUCAGUCUUGUUUAUUGAAGUUACAGAAAUUUAUUAUGUGACACAUUUUGCUCUUUCCCUGUAAAUUAAAUGUUAAUUUCACAAAUGAAUGUGCUUGUGCUGUAACUUCUACAAUACUGUUGGAAUGGGGACUAAAAAUAGCAGUCUGUAUUUUGUUAUUGCUGCUUUACUUGGUGUUUUCAAAAACUGCCGUUGACAGCCUUGUAAUAAAGUAAGACUAACUGGG
Long non-coding RNA from Falco peregrinus (peregrine falcon), 14522 nucleotides. RefSeq lists it as uncharacterized. Lineage: Eukaryota; Metazoa; Chordata; Aves; Falconiformes; Falconidae. The record is from RefSeq and is a predicted model, not a curated record. The transcript is spliced from 2 exons.